Molecule: long non-coding RNA, 2272 nt
Filed under: Eucalyptus grandis
Lineage: Eukaryota; Viridiplantae; Streptophyta; Magnoliopsida; Myrtales; Myrtaceae
Description: long non-coding RNA (EGRA_LNC000525)
Source: RNAcentral
AUGAGAAAUAUGGGGAAUUUGGAAAGACUAUCAACUGGUGUUCACGGCCAUCUCCCCUCCCUCAAACAGUUAUAUUUUCCAUGUUGCUCAAAGCUCCGGUACUUGUCAGAGGAUGGCUUCCCUCCCUCCCUCAAAAGUAUUCCGCAUAAUUCAAUGUGAGAUUCCGAAGGAUGGAUCCUCUCUUGCCGGUGACUAUUGGCACCUCAUCCAAGAAAUCCCACUCAUUGUGAUUGAUCUAGUUCGGAUCCAACAAGAAGAUUUCUCUCCACUGUCUUAAGUUUUGUUCAUCGGGUAAUGAUUCGGACUUCUUUCUUUUUUCACACUUGUCAUUUAGCUACUGCUGCUCCAUGAUCCAUUUCCAUUCCGUUUCCUCAACUCAAUGCUAAAAUGGUCAUGUUUUUCCAUGGACAUGCUUCACAUAAAUGUCCACAAACCAGCUGCUAAAGGUCCAAUGUUGACAUUUGGGUUGCUCUGUUUUGUUUACCAAGGAAGUAUGCCAUGAAAUGGUUAUAAUACUAACGUGGUGCAGCCAAUGACUAUUCCUCGAACAAAUAAUACCUGCAAGAACUUGCUCAUAGUGCUGGAAUUAUGAUCUAUCAAAUGUGUCUGUCUAUAUUGAUUAUAUAUCUAGAAUUUUGUGUGAUGGCCAAAAAUUGCUUAUCUUUGCACUUGGAUGACACAUAAAGAAUUUGUAAAUGGAAAUGCACUAUGCUUUGCGUGAGAAUCAUGAAAAUUUUUUGCUCUCACAUUGAUAUCGUUCUGCAAUUUCAGCAUUUGCUGUAUUUUCUCUUCCAAAUAUCUAUUUCUUAUGCCAUAGCUCAUUGACCUAAAUUCUAUCGACUGUGCUUGUUUUGCAGAUUAUCCCACUGUCAUCUGUGUCUGGCAAAAUCUCUCGGGACGAUCAAAUGCAAACACUGUUGAGGUAGGCAACUGAUGUACUUAUUAACAUCUUUUGCAACCUGACAAAAGAAAAGGUAUUAAUUUUGGUAGGUGCAUCAAUAUGCUUUUUUUUUUUUUUCGUGACAUGGUCUAAAUAAGAUUAAUCUUUAUCAUGAUGUUUAUUAUCAAGGUCUAUAUGCAAAGUCAAAUUAAGAAGCUUUCUUACUUUGAAUAACAGCUAUCGUGAAGAUGCAAAAAUGGGAUCUAGAACAGGUUUUCAAGUUGGCAAAUAUGACAGCUAAAUUUCAAUGAACCCUGCAGAUUAUAAUCUAUUUGUUAAAGUUCACAAUUCAUCUUUCUUCUAUCUAAAUUCUCACACCAUCUCAGAGAACAUUUCAUUUUCUUUGUUGUAAGGGAAAGGCGGAGAGGAGUAAUUAGGGAGACUAUGCUUUGUUUCUCUGUUGAGUAAUCCUAAAAGUCUUACGUUUGCCAUGAAGUAUUUUGAUUGAAAAUUGCUAGAAGGAGCUCCCGUCACAAUUAAUCUUCACAAAACCUUGCUCGGGUUACUCUACAGACCCUGCCUUUCAUCCACCCAAUCGUGACUUAGCUCUCUUACAUUUUUAACAGGCAACACAGUCUAAAAGAGCUUUCCUAAUCUGUGUAGUGAUAGUUCCAGGAUCAAGUGAUUUAUGUUUAAUGGUUAUUGCAUUUCGAGUGUUCCAGAUUAACAUUCUUAAGCGUUAUUGGCCCAUACCAAGUCAUUCGAUCUCCUGACAUCACAUUUGUAGAAUAUCAGGCCGUACCAAUAAGUGUCUAUCGCCAGUGAUUAGUGAUCACCCAUACUUGUCAGUUAACAAAAUCAUAGGAGUUUUCCAACCAUCAAAAAAUAAAAAUAAUCAACAGGGUAUCCCAGUUCAUUUUUUGUUGCAGUCAAUUAGGUGUGCAUAUAAUUUUAUUAGAUCACUCUUGUAAUUCUUCAUUAUGCAUGAAAGAUCAUUGUUAUUCAGGACUAAUUUCUCGUCCUAUUUCAGACUUUUGGAUGAGAAAUAUGAGGACUGUGGAAAGACUAUCAACAAUGGAGGAUAUAAGAAGCGUGGAGUAUUCUGCUUCCUUUGUCUCUGAUUUCUCUUUGGAUGACAAAUAUAAGGAACGUGGAAAGAUUAUCAAGUGGUCUUCAUAGCCAUCUCUCCUCUCUCAAACAGCUAUCUUUUAUAGGUUACUGGUACUUGCCAGGGGAUGGCUUUGCUCCCUCCUUCAAGUAUUCGGCAUAAUGCAAUGUGAAAUUCUGAAAGAUUAGUGCUCAAAAUUCAAUGGGGACUAUUGGCACCUCAUCCAAGAAAUCCCAUUCAUUAUAGUUGAUCGAGUUUGAAUUCGACAAGAAGAUUUCUCUCCA